UCUGGCGGCCAUAGCGCGGUGGUCCCACCUGAUCCCAUGCCGAACUCAGUAGUGAAACGCCGUAG
RNAcentral lists this ribosomal RNA (65 nucleotides) under Salmonella enterica subsp. enterica serovar Virchow. Lineage: Bacteria; Pseudomonadati; Pseudomonadota; Gammaproteobacteria; Enterobacterales; Enterobacteriaceae. The record is from RNAcentral.